UAGGGAAUCUUCGGCAAUGGACGGAAGUCUGACCGAGCAACGCCGCGUGAGUGAAGAAGGUUUUCGGAUCGUAAAGCUCUGUUGUUAGAGAAGAAUGAUGGUGGGAGUGGAAAAUCCACCAUGUGACGGUAACUAACCAGAAAGGGACGGCUAACUACGUGCCAGCAGCCGCGGUAAUACGUAGGUCCCGAGCGUUGUCCGGAUUUAUUGGGCGUAAAGCGAGCGCAGGCGGUUCUUUAAGUCUGAAGUUAAAGGCAGUGGCUCAACCAUUGUACGCUUUGGAAACUGGAGAACUUGAGUGCAGAAGGGGAGAGUGGAAUUCCAUGUGUAGCGGUGAAAUGCGUAGAUAUAUGGAGGAACACCGGUGGCGAAAGCGGCUCUCUGGUCUGUAACUGACGCUGAGGCUCGAAAGCGUGGGGAGCAAACAGGAUUAGAUACCCUGGUAGUCCACGCCGUAAACGAUGAGUGCUAGGUGUUAGGCCCUUUCCGGGGCUUAGUGCCGGAGCUAACGCAUUAAGCACUCCGCCUGGGGAGUACGACCGCAAGGUUG
RNAcentral lists this ribosomal RNA (550 nucleotides) under uncultured bacterium. Its description in RNAcentral is "bacterial SSU rRNA". It matches the Rfam family "Bacterial small subunit ribosomal RNA", at positions 355 to 896 of the family's 1533-position model. The record is from RNAcentral.